Long non-coding RNA from Bombina bombina (fire-bellied toad), 245 nucleotides. RefSeq lists it as uncharacterized. The transcript is spliced from 3 exons. The record is from RefSeq and is a predicted model, not a curated record. Lineage: Eukaryota; Metazoa; Chordata; Amphibia; Anura; Bombinatoridae.
UGAGGAAUUACCUUCUACAAGCCAUAUGAGGCCUAGAUAAAAUGUUUUUCGAACAACCCUUUUGACAUCUUCGAUAACAACACGUAGUUUAGGAUCAGUGGAUACAUUGCCUGACAUGCCCUGCAGUACACCUGUUGAGAAUUCCAGAAAUUCAAGAGAAGUCAUGAAUAUCUUCAAUCAAAUUAUAUCCGGAGGUCUAGAAGAAGCUAACGAAGAAGAAAACACACAGGAUGAUCUUAGUAAUG